RNAcentral lists this ribosomal RNA (497 nucleotides) under Dryas iulia (julia butterfly). RNAcentral's name for it is "partial 16S ribosomal RNA". Lineage: Eukaryota; Metazoa; Arthropoda; Insecta; Lepidoptera; Nymphalidae. The record is from RNAcentral.
AUAUUUAAGUCUAAUCUGCCCACUGAUUUUAUUAAGGGCUGCAGUAUAUUGACUGUACAAAGGUAGCAUAAUCAUUAGUCUUUUAAUUGAAGACUUGUAUGAAAGAUUGGAUGAAAUAUAAACUGUCUCAAAAAUAUUAAUAAAAAUUAAUUUUUUAAUUAAAAAGUUAAAAUAAUUAAAAAAGACGAGAAGACCCUAUAGAGUUUAAUAAUGUUUUUUAUUUUUGAAAAAUAUAUUUAUAUUAAAAAAAUAAAAAAUAUUAUUUUGUUGGGGUGAUAAAAAAAUUAAAAUAACUUUUUUUUUUUUAUUUUAACAUAAAUAAAUGAAUAAUUGAUCCAUAAAUAAUGAUUAAAAGAAAAAAUUACCUUAGGGAUAACAGCGUAAUUUUUUUUUUUAGUACAAAUAAAAAAAAGAGAUUGCGACCUCGAUGUUGGAUUAAGAUAAAAUUUAAAUGCAAAAGUUAAAAAUUUGAGUCUGUUCGAUCAUAAAAUCUACCU